AUCCAGCUGGCGAGUCCCAAAUAGGACAGCCGAAAUGCACAUCCUGGAU
Non-coding RNA from Trichobilharzia regenti, 49 nucleotides. The record is from Rfam. Lineage: Eukaryota; Metazoa; Platyhelminthes; Trematoda; Strigeidida; Schistosomatidae.